GACGUAGGGUGCAAGCGUUGUCCGGAUUUAUUGGGCGUAAAGAGCUCGUAGGCGGUUUGUCGCGUCGAUUGUGAAAUCCCGGGGCUCAACUUCGGGCUUGCAGUCGAUACGGGCAGACUAGAGGCAGGUAGGGGAGAGUGGAAUUCCUGGUGUAGCGGUGAAAUGCGCAGAUAUCAGGAGGAACACCGGUGGCGAAGGCGGCUCUCUGGGCCUGUCCUGACGCUGAGGAGCGAAAGCGUGGGGAGCGAACAGG
This 253-nucleotide ribosomal RNA is filed under the name uncultured prokaryote. RNAcentral's name for it is "partial 16S ribosomal RNA". It matches the Rfam family "Bacterial small subunit ribosomal RNA", at positions 524 to 776 of the family's 1533-position model. The record is from RNAcentral.